GUCGGCGUGCCUAAUACAUGCAAGUCGAACGAGUUCUGAUUAUUGAAAGGUGCUUGCAUCUUGAUUUAAUUUUGAACGAGUGGCGGACGGGUGAGUAACACGUGGGUAACCUGCCCUUAAGUGGGGGAUAACAUUUGGAAACAGAUGCUAAUACCGCAUAAAUCCAAGAACCGCAUGGUUCUUGGCUGAAAGAUGGCGUAAGCUAUCGCUUUUGGAUGGACCCGCGGCGUAUUAGCUAGUUGGUGAGGUAACGGCUCACCAAGGCAAUGAUACGUAGCCGAACUGAGAGGUUGAUCGGCCACAUUGGGACUGAGACACGGCCCAAACUCCUACGGGAGGCAGCAGUAGGGAAUCUUCCACAAUGGACGCAAGUCUGAUGGAGCAACGCCGCGUGAGUGAAGAAGGCUUUCGGGUCGUAAAACUCUGUUGUUGGAGAAGAAUGGUCGGCAGAGUAACUGUUGUCGGCGUGACGGUAUCCAACCAGAAAGCCACGGCUAACUACGUGCCAGCAGCCGCGGUAAUACGUAGGUGGCAAGCGUUAUCCGGAUUUAUUGGGCGUAAAGCGAGCGCAGGCGGUUUUUUAAGUCUGAUGUGAAAGCCCUCGGCUUAACCGAGGAAGUGCAUCGGAAACUGGGAAACUUGAGUGCAGAAGAGGACAGUGGAACUCCAUGUGUAGCGGUGAAAUGCGUAGAUAUAUGGAAGAACACCAGUGGCGAAGGCGGCUGUCUGGUCUGUAACUGACGCUGAGGCUCGAAAGCAUGGGUAGCGAACAGGAUUAGAUACCCUGGUAGUCCAUGCCGUAAACGAUGAAUGCUAGGUGUUGGAGGGUUUCCGCCCUUCAGUGCCGCAGCUAACGCAUUAAGCAUUCCGCCUGGGGAGUACGACCGCAAGGUUGAAACUCAAAGGAAUUGACGGGGGCCCGCACAAGCGGUGGAGCAUGUGGUUUAAUUCGAAGCAACGCGAAGAACCUUACCAGGUCUUGACAUCUUUUGAUCACCUGAGAGAUCAGGUUUCCCCUUCGGGGGCAAAAUGACAGGUGGUGCAUGGUUGUCGUCAGCUCGUGUCGUGAGAUGUUGGGUUAAGUCCCGCAACGAGCGCAACCCUUAUGACUAGUUGCCAGCAUUUAGUUGGGCACUCUAGUAAGACUGCCGGUGACAAACCGGAGGAAGGUGGGGAUGACGUCAAAUCAUCAUGCCCCUUAUGACCUGGGCUACACACGUGCUACAAUGGAUGGUACAACGAGUUGCGAGACCGCGAGGUCAAGCUAAUCUCUUAAAGCCAUUCUCAGUUCGGACUGUAGGCUGCAACUCGCCUACACGAAGUCGGAAUCGCUAGUAAUCGCGGAUCAGCACGCCGCGGUGAAUACGUUCCCGGGCCUUGUACACACCGCCCGUCACACCAUGAGAGUUUGUAACACCCGAAGCCGGUGGCGUAACCCUUUUAGGGAGCGAG
Molecule: ribosomal RNA, 1452 nt
Filed under: Lacticaseibacillus rhamnosus
Lineage: Bacteria; Bacillati; Bacillota; Bacilli; Lactobacillales; Lactobacillaceae
Description: bacterial SSU rRNA
Rfam family: Bacterial small subunit ribosomal RNA
Source: RNAcentral